AGGGAAUAGAUACCCAGGUAGUCCACGCUGUAAACGAUGCACAUUAGGUGCUAGGGAGUAUCGACCCUCUUUAGUACCAAAAAGCUAACGCGUUAAAUGUGCCGCCUGGGGAGUACGGCCGCAAGGCUAAAACUCAAAGGAAUUGACGGGGACCCGCACAAGUGGUGGAGCAUGCGGUUUAAUUCGAUGAUAAGCGAGGAACCUUACCUAGGCUUGACAUGUACCUGCAUACAUCAGAGAUGGUGUAGCCUUCGAGGGUGGUACACAGGUGCUGCACGGUUGUCGUCAGCUCGUGCCGUGAGGUGUUCACUUAAGUGUGAAAACGAGCGCAACCCCUAUCAUAAGUUACAAGUGUCUUAUGAAACUGCCGGCGUUUAAGCCGGAGGAAGGCGGGGAGUGACGUCAAAUCAGCGUGGCUCUUACGCCUAGGGCGACACGCGUGCUACAAUGGGAAGUCACAAAGGGACGCCAAGGAGCAAUCC
This 482-nucleotide ribosomal RNA is filed under the name uncultured bacterium. RNAcentral's name for it is "bacterial SSU rRNA". It matches the Rfam family "Bacterial small subunit ribosomal RNA", at positions 773 to 1263 of the family's 1533-position model. The record is from RNAcentral.